RNAcentral lists this ribosomal RNA (411 nucleotides) under uncultured prokaryote. RNAcentral describes it as "bacterial SSU rRNA". It matches the Rfam family "Bacterial small subunit ribosomal RNA", at positions 505 to 918 of the family's 1533-position model. The record is from RNAcentral.
GUGCCAGCAGCCGCGGUAAUACGGAGGGUGCGAGCGUUGUCCGGAAUCAUUGGGUGUAAAGGGUGCGUAGGCGGGCUGCUAAGUCUGGGGUGAAAUCCUGCCGCUUAACGGUAGAAUGGCCCCCGAUACUGGCAGUCUUGAGUACAGAAGAGGUCGGUGGAAUUCGUAGUGUAGCGGUGAAAUGCAUAGAUAUUACGAAGAACACCAGUGGCGAAGGCGGCCGGCUGGUCUGUAACUGACGCUGAGGCACGAAAGCGUGGGGAGCGAACAGGAUUAGAUACCCUGGUAGUCCACGCUGUAAACGAUGUAUGCUAGGUGUCGGCCUUUCGGGGUCGGUGCUGCAGUUAACGCAGUAAGCAUACCACCUGGGGAGUACGUCGGCAACGAUGAAACUUAAAUGAAUUGACGGGG